This 124-nucleotide microRNA precursor is filed under the name Oryza brachyantha (malo sina). RNAcentral's name for it is "pre miRNA mir-160". It matches the Rfam family "mir-160 microRNA precursor family". From Rfam's summary of the family: The hairpin precursors (represented here) are predicted based on base pairing and cross-species conservation -- their extents are not known. In this case the mature sequence is excised from the 5' arm of the hairpin. The record is from Rfam by way of RNAcentral. Lineage: Eukaryota; Viridiplantae; Streptophyta; Magnoliopsida; Poales; Poaceae.
AUAUGCCUGGCUCCCUGUAUGCCACUCGCGUAGCUGCCAACGACCUCGUUCAAGCACUGCCCUUCUCCCGGCAUUGUUCCUAGGUUGGCUCUACCGCGGAUGGCGUGCGAGGAGCCAAGCAUGA